CAGCCAGCAGGCUGCCAGAGAUCCAACCGCGCCUUGCAGCGCACAGAGGGACGCAACAGGGACGGACGGUCCUUCCUGCCAUACAGAAGGAUGGAUCCUGCGCGUCCAUGGAGUGGUGCUGGGCAAGGGGGGAAACGGAAAGCCUCCGCAGAGAGAGGUGCCGAGCCCAACGGAAAGAUCUACGCAAAAGCGGUGCAGGAAGUCCUUCUGGAGAGAGCUCAUCUCCAGGCUGGAGGGCUUCCUACAACAGCAGGUCCCAACACAGGGGGAAGACCUUCCCCUGCUGUGUGCCCCCGCUCUGUCUCCAAGUCCUUGGCUGGAUGUAAACGCAAAGGCUUGGAAGAAGCGAAGCCAACAGCAGUGCAGCUGCCUGCUAACAAAAGAGUGAGGGGGCCGAGCGGAGACAGCGUGCCAGCUCCAGCAGCACACCCUGGGCCUGCUGCAGUGCGGAGCUCCAAGCUAAGAGGUGAGAAGGUGCUGUGGAACCCACCCUGGUGAGCUGCUGCCCUUUUCAAGCACACUGAGUUUGCUCAGGGUUCGCUUUGCUUUUUCCUUCUCUGUGGAGGGGACAAGAGUGGAAGGCUACAAAGUCCAAAGGCAGUGAGG
This 606-nucleotide long non-coding RNA is filed under the name Gallus gallus (chicken). RNAcentral describes it as "lncRNA (ENSGALG00010000314.1)". Lineage: Eukaryota; Metazoa; Chordata; Aves; Galliformes; Phasianidae. The record is from RNAcentral.